CCUACGGGAGGCAGCAGUAGGGAAUAUUGCUCAAUGGGGGAAACCCUGAAGCAGCAACGCCGCGUGGAGGAUGAAGGUUUUCGGAUUGUAAACUCCUUUUGUUAGGGAAGAUACUGACGGUAUCUAACGAAUAAGCACCGGCUAACUCCGUGCCCGCAGCCGCGUUAAUACGGCGGGUGCCAGCGUUACUCGGAUUCACUGGGCGUAAAGGGAGCGUAGGCGGGAUAGCAAGUCAGAUGUGAAAUCCUAUGGCUUAACCAUAGAACUGCAGUUGAAACUGUUAUUCUAGAGUAUGGGAGAGGUAGGUGGAAUUCUUGGUGUAGGGGUGAAAUCCGUAGAGAUCAAGAGGAAUACUCAGUGCGAAGGCGACCUGCUAGAACAUAACUGACGCUGAUGCGCGAAAGCGUGGGGAGCAAACAGGAUUAGAUACCCGAGUAGUC
RNAcentral lists this ribosomal RNA (440 nucleotides) under uncultured bacterium. RNAcentral's name for it is "partial 16S ribosomal RNA". It matches the Rfam family "Bacterial small subunit ribosomal RNA", at positions 338 to 795 of the family's 1533-position model. The record is from RNAcentral.